UGACUAAUUGAAAAGGGCGUUUGGUGGAUGCCUUGGUAUUAGGAGGCGACGAAGGACGUUAUAGCCUGCGAUAUGCUUCGGGGAGCUGGCAAAUGAGCUUUGAUCCGAAGAUCUCCGAAUGGGGAAACCCUUCUUGGUAAUCCCAAGAAAUCUUUACCUGAAUAUAUAGGGUAUAAGAAGCGAACGGCAUGAACUGAAACAUCUAAGUAGUGCCAGGAAAAGAAAAUGAAUAUGAUUCCCGUAGUAGUGGUGAGCGAAAUGGGAAGAGCCUAAACCUAUGCUGUGUAAGCUUGUAUGCGUUGCAGUGUGGGGGUAGUGGGAGUAUAUGUUCAAGUGAUACAAACCUUGACUUAUAAUUACAUACGUCAGUAGAACAGCUCUGGAAAGGGCGGCCAUAGAAAGUGACAGCCUUGUAGACGAAGACCUAUGUAAUGUAAGAUAUAUAUCCCGAGUAUCAUGGAGCACGUGAAAUUCCGUGAGAAUCAGUCCCGACCAUGGGAUAAGGCUAAAUACUACCUAAUGACCGAUAGUGAACAAGUACCGUGAGGGAAAGGUGAAAAGAACCCCGGGAGGGGAGUGAAAUAGAAACUGAAACCAAACGUCUAUAAGCGGUGGAAGAGAUGUAUACGUACGCUCAACCACGUGCCUUUUGCAUAAUGAGUCAACGAGUUAUUCCUAUAUUGCAAGGUUAAGUUUUGAAAGAACGGAGCCGUAGCGAAAGCGAGUCUGAAUAGGGCGUUUAGUAAUAUGGGAUAGACCCGAAACCAAGUGAGCUUUCCAUGUCCAGGAUGAAGUUUUAGUAAAAUAAAAUGGAGGUCCGAACCGGUGUAGGCUGAAAACUGCUCGGAUGAGGUGUGGAAAGGGGUGAAAGGCUAAUCAAACUUGGAAAUAGCUGGUUCUCCCCGAAAUAUAUUUAGGUAUAGCCUUGCACGAUUAACUAUGGGGGUAAAGCACAGUUUAAAUUUUGGGGUCUCACGAUUACCAUAUUUUUACUAACUCUGAAUACCGUAGUUUUAGAAUGCAGGAGUCAGACUGCGGGAGAUAAGUUCCGUGGUCGAGAGGGAAACAGCCCAGAUCGUUAAAUAAGGUCCCAAAGUGUUCGUUAAGUGUGAAAAGAGGUGGAGACGCACUGACAGCCAGGAGGUUGGCUUAGAAGCAGCCAUCCUUUAAAGAAAGCGUAAUAGCUCACUGGUCAAGUAUUUCUGCGCUGAAAAUAAACGGGGCUUAAACGAACCACCGAAUUUGCGACUUGCACAUUUAUGUGCAGGGGUAGGGGAGCGUUCAUUGAUAGAUACAAGCUUGACUGGAAAGACAGGUGACGUGAUCAAUGAAGUGAGAAUGUUGACAUAAGUAACGAAAAAAUAGGUGAGAUUCCUAUUCGCCGAAAAUCUGAGGUUUCCGUGAGAUCGGAUUAUCCACUCAGGGUUAGUCGGCCCCUAAGUCGAGGCCAAUUGGAGUAGACGAUGGAAAACAGGUUAAAUAUUCCUGUACCGCUCGUAAGCGUUUGAGUGAUGUGGUGACGCAGGAAGGUAAGCUGAGUUGAUGUAUGGAUGUCAAUUUAAGCACAAAGAUAGGUUUUGUUGGCAAAUCCGCAAAAUCGAUGAUUUGAAGUGUUAUGAGCAUUCUGAUCCCUAGUGGAGAUGUGUGUUCAGCUGAUCCUACGCUGACUAGAAAACCCGCUAGCGAGCUAUACGAGCGACCGUACCGUAAACUGACACAGGUAGAUGGGUAGAAUAUACUCAGGCGUUGAGAUAACUAUCAUUAAGGAACUCGGCAAAAUAGCCCCGUAACUUCGGGAGAAGGGGUGCCUAGGGCGUGAAAGCGCUUCUAGGUUUCAAUAAAAUGGACCAACCGACUGUUUAGCAAAAACACAGGGCUCUGCAAACUCGUAAGAGGAAGUAUAGAGUCUGACGCCUGCCCAGUGCUGGAAGGUUAACAGGAUGGGUUAUUCUUCGGAAGAAGCUCAAAAUCGAAGCCCCAGUAAACGGCGGCCGUAACUAUAACGGUCCUAAGGUAGCGAAGUACCUUGUCGGGUAAGUUCCGACGCGCAUGAAUGGCGUAACGAGUUGGACGCUGUCUUGAUGAUAGACUCAGUGAAAUUGUAGUUCCGGUGAAAAUGCCGGAUACCCGCGACUGGACGGAAAGACCCCGUGCACCUUUACUAUAACUUGACAUUGAUCUUUGGAUAGGUUCGUGUAGGAUAGGCGGGAGACUGUGAUACUAUGGCGCCAGCUGUAGUGGAGUCAUCCUUGAAAUACCGCCCUUAUUCGUUCGAAGAUCUAACUCCAAAUUUCCGUAAUCCGGAUGGAGGACAUUGUCUGGCGGGUAGUUUGACUGGGGUGGUCGCCUCCCAAAUUGUAACGGAGGCAUUCAAAGGUUCCCUCAUGACGAAUAGAAAUCGUCUCUAGAGCGCAAAAGCAUAAGGGAGCUUGACUGCGAGACAUACAGGUCGAGCAGGUGCGAAAGCAGGAUUUAGUGAUCCAGUGGUUCUGAAUGGAAGGGCCAUUGCUAAAUGGAUAAAAGGUACGCCGGGGAUAACAGGCUAAUCUCUUCUGAGAGUUCAUAUCGACGAGGAGGUUUGGCACCUCGAUGUCGGCUCAUCGCAUCCUGGGGCUGAAGAAGGUCCCAAGGGUUUGGCUGUUCGCCAAUUAAAGCGGUACGUGAGCUGGGUUCAGAACGUCGUAAGACAGUUCGGUCCUUAUCUGUCGUGGGCGUAGGGUAUUUGAGAGAGGCUGUUCCUAGUACGAGAGGACCGGAAUGGGCAAACCUCUGGUGUUCCAGUUGUCCCCCAAGGGCAACGCUGGGUAGCUAGGUUUGUAAGAGAUAACCGCUGAAAGCAUCUAAGUGGGAAACUCGUCUCAAGAUAAGAUACCCCGUAAUGAUCGUAAGAUUAUUACAUUAAGAUUCCUUGUAGACUACAAGGUUGAUAGGCUGGAUGUGUAAGCACAGUAAUGUGUUCAGCUAACCAGUACUAAUAAAUCGAAUGUUUUAGCCAAU
RNAcentral lists this ribosomal RNA (2997 nucleotides) under Candidatus Babeliales bacterium. RNAcentral's name for it is "23S ribosomal RNA". It matches the Rfam family "Bacterial large subunit ribosomal RNA". Lineage: Bacteria; Candidatus Babeliae; Candidatus Babeliales. The record is from RNAcentral.